UAUCUCUCCGUACGGGGAAGGAUGAGAAGCUUCGACUAAGGUUCGAUUCGAGCGCAGCGAGAAAGCGUUGCCGCAAGCAACGGCCCGAAGGGCGAAGCGCGCAGCGCUGAGUCAUCCUUCCCCCACCACCA
RNAcentral lists this small RNA (131 nucleotides) under Salmonella enterica. RNAcentral's name for it is "RtT sRNA". It matches the Rfam family "RtT RNA". Rfam says of the family: This family represents a bacterial cis-regulatory element known as RtT RNA. The record is from RNAcentral. RNAcentral also lists the same sequence under 3 other names. Lineage: Bacteria; Pseudomonadati; Pseudomonadota; Gammaproteobacteria; Enterobacterales; Enterobacteriaceae.